This 405-nucleotide long non-coding RNA is filed under the name Homo sapiens (human). RNAcentral's name for it is "HSALNT0298688". The record is from RNAcentral. Lineage: Eukaryota; Metazoa; Chordata; Mammalia; Primates; Hominidae.
CCAGCACUUUGGGAGGCCAAGGUGGGAGGAUCACGAGGUCAGGAGAUCGAGACCAUCCUAGCUAACACAAUGAAGCCCCAUCUCUACUGAAAAUUAGUCAGGCGUGGUGGUGGGCGCCUGUAGCCCGAGCUACUCGGGAGGCUGAGGCAGGAGAAUGACAUGAACCUGGGAGGUGGAGCUUGCAGUGAGCUGAGAUCUUGCCACUGCACUCCAGCCUGGGCAACAAAGAGAGACUCCGUCUCAAAAUAAAUAAAUAAGGAACUGCCGGGCGCGGUGGCUCACGCCUAUAAUCCCAGCACUUUGGGAGGCCAAGGUGGGUGGAUCACGAGGGCAGGAGAUCGAGACCAUCCUGGUUAACACGGUGAAACCCCGUCUCUACUAAAAAUACAAAAAAAUUAGCCGGGC